This is an RNA transcript of Homo sapiens (human), 3675 nucleotides long. It is a transcript of the gene named ubiquitin like with PHD and ring finger domains 2, with no coding region annotated. The record is from RefSeq and is marked reviewed. Lineage: Eukaryota; Metazoa; Chordata; Mammalia; Primates; Hominidae. The transcript is spliced from 17 exons.
AUAAGUAAACACUCUGCGCGGCGCAGACAUGGCCUCUUCCUAUCUUUGAGGCGGUGUCUGCGGCAGCGCCUCAGAGUGGUUCCGGUCGUCUCUCCUCAAGUCGGCUAGUCGGGCGCGCGCGCUGAGAGUCGUCGCCGCCUGUCGGGCCCGGCGUCCGGUCGGUCCGGUGGGCGCGCUCGCCCGCCUGCCGCUGAGGGCCCGAGCCGCAGGGAAAGCGGCGCGGGCCGGGCGGGGCGCGGCGCCCAGAGCUCAGGGGGAGACAAAGGGGACCGGUUCCUCUCUAGGCGCCAAGAUGUGGAUACAGGUUCGCACCAUUGAUGGCUCCAAGACGUGCACCAUUGAGGACGUGUCUCGCAAAGCCACGAUUGAGGAGCUGCGCGAGCGGGUGUGGGCGCUGUUCGACGUGCGGCCCGAAUGCCAGCGCCUCUUCUACCGGGGCAAGCAGUUGGAAAAUGGAUAUACCUUAUUUGAUUAUGAUGUUGGACUGAAUGAUAUAAUUCAGCUGCUAGUUCGCCCAGACCCUGAUCAUCUUCCUGGCACAUCUACACAGAUUGAGGCUAAACCCUGUUCUAAUAGUCCACCUAAAGUAAAGAAAGCUCCGAGGGUAGGACCUUCCAAUCAGCCAUCUACAUCAGCUCGUGCCCGUCUUAUUGAUCCUGGCUUUGGAAUAUAUAAGGUAAAUGAAUUGGUGGAUGCCAGAGAUGUCGGCCUUGGUGCUUGGUUUGAAGCACACAUACAUAGUGUUACUAGAGCUUCUGAUGGACAGUCACGUGGCAAAACUCCACUGAAGAAUGGCAGUUCUUGUAAAAGGACUAAUGGAAAUAUAAAGCAUAAAUCCAAAGAGAACACAAAUAAAUUGGACAGUGUACCCUCUACGUCUAAUUCAGACUGUGUUGCUGCUGAUGAAGACGUUAUUUACCAUAUCCAGUAUGAUGAAUACCCAGAAAGCGGUACUCUAGAAAUGAAUGUCAAGGAUCUUAGACCACGAGCUAGAACCAUUUUGAAAUGGAAUGAACUAAAUGUUGGUGAUGUGGUAAUGGUUAAUUAUAAUGUAGAAAGUCCUGGACAAAGAGGAUUCUGGUUUGAUGCAGAAAUUACCACAUUGAAGACAAUCUCAAGGACCAAAAAAGAACUUCGUGUGAAAAUUUUCCUGGGGGGUUCUGAAGGAACAUUAAAUGACUGCAAGAUAAUAUCUGUAGAUGAAAUCUUCAAGAUUGAGAGACCUGGAGCCCAUCCCCUUUCAUUUGCAGAUGGAAAGUUUUUAAGGCGAAAUGACCCUGAAUGUGACCUGUGUGGUGGAGACCCAGAAAAGAAAUGUCAUUCUUGCUCCUGUCGUGUAUGUGGUGGGAAACAUGAACCCAACAUGCAGCUUCUGUGUGAUGAAUGUAAUGUGGCUUAUCAUAUUUACUGUCUGAAUCCACCUUUGGAUAAAGUCCCAGAAGAGGAAUACUGGUAUUGUCCUUCUUGUAAAACUGAUUCCAGUGAAGUUGUAAAGGCUGGUGAAAGACUCAAGAUGAGUAAAAAGAAAGCAAAGAUGCCGUCAGCUAGUACUGAAAGCCGAAGAGACUGGGGCAGGGGAAUGGCUUGUGUUGGUCGUACGAGAGAAUGUACUAUUGUCCCUUCUAAUCAUUAUGGACCCAUUCCUGGUAUUCCUGUUGGAUCAACUUGGAGAUUUAGAGUUCAGGUGAGCGAAGCAGGUGUUCACAGACCCCAUGUUGGUGGAAUUCAUGGUCGAAGUAAUGAUGGGGCUUAUUCUCUUGUACUGGCUGGUGGAUUUGCGGAUGAAGUCUUGACAGAGUUAUGAAUAUGAAUAUUGUGGAGUCUGUCCAGAUACCGGGUGGAAGACUGGUUUUGAUCAGUUUAAGAAGUAUUCUAAACUGUUCUAGAUGACCGAGGUGAUGAGUUCACAUACACUGGAAGCGGUGGUAAAAAUCUUGCUGGUAACAAAAGAAUUGGUGCACCUUCAGCUGAUCAAACAUUAACAAACAUGAACAGGGCAUUGGCCCUAAACUGUGAUGCUCCAUUGGAUGAUAAAAUUGGAGCAGAGUCUCGGAAUUGGAGAGCUGGUAAGCCAGUCAGAGUGAUACGCAGUUUUAAAGGGAGGAAGAUCAGCAAAUAUGCUCCUGAAGAAGGCAACAGAUAUGAUGGCAUUUAUAAGGUGGUGAAAUACUGGCCAGAGAUUUCAUCAAGCCAUGGAUUCUUGGUUUGGCGCUAUCUUUUAAGAAGAGAUGAUGUUGAACCUGCUCCUUGGACCUCUGAAGGAAUAGAACGGUCAAGGAGAUUAUGUCUACGUUUACAGUAUCCAGCAGGUUACCCUUCAGAUAAAGAAGGGAAGAAGCCUAAAGGACAGUCAAAGAAGCAGCCCAGUGGAACCACAAAAAGGCCAAUUUCAGAUGAUGACUGUCCAAGUGCCUCCAAAGUGUACAAAGCAUCAGAUUCAGCAGAAGCAAUUGAGGCUUUUCAACUAACUCCUCAACAGCAACAUCUCAUCAGAGAAGAUUGUCAAAACCAGAAGCUGUGGGAUGAAGUGCUUUCACAUCUUGUGGAAGGACCAAAUUUUCUGAAAAAAUUGGAACAAUCUUUUAUGUGCGUUUGCUGUCAGGAGCUAGUUUACCAGCCUGUGACAACUGAGUGCUUCCACAAUGUCUGUAAAGAUUGCCUACAGCGCUCCUUUAAGGCACAGGUUUUCUCCUGCCCUGCUUGCCGGCAUGAUCUUGGCCAGAAUUACAUCAUGAUUCCCAAUGAGAUUCUGCAGACUCUACUUGACCUUUUCUUCCCUGGCUACAGCAAAGGACGAUGAUCUGCCUGCUUUCACUGUGUUGUUCAUGGUGGCUUUUUGGACAAUAAAGAAUCUAAAAUGGGUGGGGAGGGUGGAAGAAAUGGUGGACUGUAUCUCUCACGUUCUGAAGCAGCUAAUCCUCUUUCCCACAUAGCCAUCAUCUUGUGUGUGUAGUAAGAGGCCCAUUUCUCAACUGUCUUUUAAAUAUCUAAAGGUAGUUCCUGUAACAACUAGUUUUAAUGAGUAAAAAGUCAAAGCCUCAGCUCUAGUUGAUAUCCAAGUUAUGAUUUAUUUUGCAACUACCUCAGGACAGAAAAGAUUUAUGGGGAUUUUAAAAAUCAUUGAAUAACUAGUUAAAUGAAAUUUUAGCUACACACUGCCUCCCAAAUAUUAGUUGUGCCUGGUUCUUGUAAUUUGAUUUUACAGAAAAGGAAAUGACACUUGAGAUCCUUGGAAUGAACACAGCUUCUAAAGUGUGCAUAUACUUUUUUAACGUCUCUUCUUCCAUUACAAUGUGUGUUUUGCAAGGACAGGUUCAUUUUUUUUAGCCCACUUUGUGAACUCCAUUGUGCUUUUUUCUGGUGUUUUAUGCAAGUUGACUACUAAUGACUAAUGAGAACAAUAAUGAAUGCAUUGUUGCUGCAUUAGUGUAAUGUGGUGUGGUUUUGCACUUAAAAGAGGUAUUCAUAUGCUCUAGUUGUAAAUGUUCAUGAAAAUCCACUUCUCUACUAGUCGAACUGCUUUUAGUGUCUCACCAGUGGUUUUACAUCUGCAGAGUUUUGAGGGCUGUGCUGACCUUUGAGAGGAUUUGAAAUUGCUUCAUAUUGUGAUCCUAAAUUUUAUAUUCACUAUAUUCCCUAAAGUAUACCUUAAUAAAUAUUUUAUGAUCAGAAAAA